This 672-nucleotide unclassified non-coding RNA is filed under the name Zea mays. RNAcentral describes it as "misc RNA Zm00001eb372680". Lineage: Eukaryota; Viridiplantae; Streptophyta; Magnoliopsida; Poales; Poaceae. The record is from RNAcentral.
CUUCGUUCUCGUCGAGUCUUCGUGUGCCUCGGUCGAAAAACAGGAACAGAAGAAUAUGGCCGCCGCCCGCCCGCCCGCCUACCGCGCGCCCAAGGGAUAGCUAAAGGCCGCGUAGAGGAGGGGGCGUUCGCCGGCGGGGAGGUCUGGCGGCCUCCAUACCUCGUCGUAAUGGUGGAUCUGCCCCUGGGCAACGACUGUCUAUGGAUGCAAUCAUGCAAGGCCGCCGCUUGGAGGUUCGCUGAAAUUGGAUUGCGGCCAGUAAUUUCAGAUUCGAGAAUACUGGUAGUGGUAGAUAGAGUAUGCAAAUUAUGGAUAACUAUUUGUGAUGAAAUUGUUUUCUUUCCUUUCCAAUCUUUAUUGAAAAGGUGACGACACUAUUUAUUUCAGUGGCUUGAUUCUAUCAUGGCUCUCCGAAGGCAUUAGACGAAUUGCUGUGUCCAAUAAAUGAAAUUCUAAUGAAAGGUCAUGCACCGCCGCAAUGACAAAAAAAAAAAAGAAGAAGGAACCGACUGCUUUACCGUACACAUGAUUGUUGAUCUACAUUUUUUACAUGUAACUGGUGGGAUUACAUAGAAAAAUAGCAAGUAAGGCCUAUUUAGGAACAAAGUUUUUGAAAACCACAUUUUUUGGAAUACUACAUUAUACUUUAGUCAUGACAAUAUCACAUUUUAA